AACGAACGCUGGCGGCAUGCCUAACACAUGCAAGUCGAACGAACCCUUCGGGGUUAGUGGCGCACGGGUGCGUAACGCGUGGGAAUCUGCCCUUUGCUUCGGAAUAACUCAGGGAAACUUGUGCUAAUACCGGAUGAUGUCUUCGGACCAUAGAUUUAUCGGCAAGGGAUGAGCCCGCGUAGGAUUAGGUAGUUGGUGGGGUAAAGGCCUACCAAGCCGACGAUCCUUAGCUGGUCUGAGAGGAUGAUCAGCCACACUGGGACUGAGACACGGCCCAGACUCCUACGGGAGGCAGCAGUGGGGAAUAUUGGACAAUGGGCGCAAGCCUGAUCCAGCAAUGCCGCGUGAGUGAUGAAGGCCCUCGGGUCGUAAAGCUCUUUUACCAGGGAUGAUAAUGACAGUACCUGGAGAAUAAGCUCCGGCUAACUCCGUG
This 433-nucleotide ribosomal RNA is filed under the name uncultured bacterium. RNAcentral's name for it is "partial 16S ribosomal RNA". It matches the Rfam family "Bacterial small subunit ribosomal RNA", at positions 29 to 507 of the family's 1533-position model. The record is from RNAcentral.